Oncorhynchus tshawytscha (Chinook salmon) is the source of this 482-nucleotide long non-coding RNA. Lineage: Eukaryota; Metazoa; Chordata; Actinopteri; Salmoniformes; Salmonidae. The record is from Ensembl.
GGAGGAAGACAGAAGGAUGGGGGGUGGAGGAAGACAGAAGGAUGGAGGAAGACAGUAGGAUGGGGGAUGGAGGAAGACAGAAGGAUGGAGGAAGACAGAAGGAUGGGGGGUGGAGGAAGACAGUAGGAUGGAGGAAGACAGAAGGACGGAGGAUGGAGGAAGACAGAAGGAUGGAGGAAGACAGAAGGAUGGAGGAAGACAGAAGGAUGGGGGAUGGAGGAAGACAGAGGGAUGGAGGAAGACAGAAGGAUGGAGGAAGACAGAAGGAUGGAGGAAGACAGAAGGAUGGGGGGUGGAGGAAGACAGAAGGAUGGAGGAAGACAGAAGGAUGGGGGAUGGAGGAAGACAGUUGGAUGGAGGAAGACAGAAGGAUGGAGGAAGACAGAAGGAUGGGAGGUGGAGGAAGACAGAAGGAUGGGAGGUGGAGGAAGACAGAAGGAUGGGGGAUGGAGGAAGACAGUAGGAUGGGGGAUGGAGGAAGA